Molecule: non-coding RNA, 25 nt
Filed under: Drosophila melanogaster (fruit fly)
Lineage: Eukaryota; Metazoa; Arthropoda; Insecta; Diptera; Drosophilidae
Source: RNAcentral
UGUAAGUCCAGCGUCCCCUUUGUGA